AACGAACGCUGGCGGCAUGCCUAACACAUGCAAGUCGAACGAAACCUUCGGGUCUAGUGGCGGACGGGUGCGUAACGCGUGGGAAUCUGCCCUUGGGUUCGGAAUAACAGAUGGAAACGACUGCUAAUACCGGAUGAGCACGUAAGGGCAAAGAUUUAUCGCCCAAGGAUGGGCCCGCGUAGGAUUAGCUAGUUGGUGAGGUAAAGGCUCACCAAGGCGACGAUCCGUAGCUGGUCUGAGAGGAUGAUCAGCCACACUGGGACUGAGACACGGCCCACACUCCUACGGGAGGCAGCAGUGGGGAAUAUUGGGCAAUGGGCGAAAGCCUGACCCAGCCAUGCCGCGUGAGUGAUGAAGGUCUUAGGAUUGUAAAGUUCUUUCACCCGGGACGAUAAUGACGGUACCGGGAGAAGAAGCCCCGGCUAACUUCGUG
This 433-nucleotide ribosomal RNA is filed under the name uncultured bacterium. Its description in RNAcentral is "partial 16S ribosomal RNA". It matches the Rfam family "Bacterial small subunit ribosomal RNA", at positions 29 to 507 of the family's 1533-position model. The record is from RNAcentral.